GUGGGGAAUUUUGGACAAUGGGGGAAACCCUGAUCCAGCCAUUCCGCGUGAGUGAAGAAGGCCUUCGGGUUGUAAAGCUCUUUCAGGAGGGAAGAAACGGUUGCAGCUAAUACCUGCGACUAAUGACGGUACCUUCAGAAGAAGCACCGGCUAACUACGUGCCAGCAGCCGCGGUAAUACGUAGGGUGCGAGCGUUAAUCGGAAUUACUGGGCGUAAAGCGUGCGCAGGCGGUUUUGUAAGUCAGAUGUGAAAGCCCCGGGCUCAACCUGGGAACUGCGUUUGAAACUACAAGGCUAGAGUGUAGCAGAGGGGGGUAGAAUUCCACGUGUAGCAGUGAAAUGCGUAGAGAUGUGGAGGAAUACCGAUGGCGAAGGCAGCCCCCUGGGUUAACACUGACGCUCAUGUACGAAAGCGUGGGGAGCAAACAGGAUUAGAUACCCGAGUAGUCC
RNAcentral lists this ribosomal RNA (450 nucleotides) under uncultured bacterium. RNAcentral's name for it is "bacterial SSU rRNA". It matches the Rfam family "Bacterial small subunit ribosomal RNA", at positions 354 to 796 of the family's 1533-position model. The record is from RNAcentral.